GACGAACGCUGGCGGCGUGCUUAACACAUGCCAGUCGAACGGAAAGGCCCUGCUUUUGUGGGGUGCUCGAGUGGCGAACGGGUGAGUAACACGUGAGUAACCUGCCCUUGACUUUGGGAUAACUUCAGGAAACUGGGGCUAAUACCGGAUAGGAGCUCCUUCUGCAUGGUGGGGGUUGGAAAGUUUCGGCGGUUGGGGAUGGACUCGCGGCUUAUCAGCUUGUUUGUGGGGUAGUGGCUUACCAAGGCUUUGACGGGUAGCCGGCCUGAGAGGGUGACCGGCCAAAUUGGGACUGAGAUACGGACCAGACUCCAACGGGAGGCAGCAGUGGGGAAUAUUGCACAAUGGGCGGAAGCCUGAUGCAGCAACGCGGCGUGCGGGAUGACGGCCUUCGGGUUGUAAACCGCUUUCGCCUGUGACGAAGCGUGAGUGACGGUAAUGGGUAAAGAAGCACCGGCUAACUACGUG
This 468-nucleotide ribosomal RNA is filed under the name uncultured bacterium. RNAcentral describes it as "partial 16S ribosomal RNA". It matches the Rfam family "Bacterial small subunit ribosomal RNA", at positions 28 to 507 of the family's 1533-position model. The record is from RNAcentral.